UGAGACCCUUAAAGUAACAAGUGAUACAGGCACACUUACUCAACUGGGGCCUGUGGAAGACACAUCAGAGGUGACAUCAGCAAGAUGGUGGACUAGGAGAUCUCAGUGCUUCCCCCCGCCCCACCCACAAAACAACAAAACAACACAAAGACACUACACACCAUGGAAACCACGCUGGGAUAGCUCCAAGACAGCAGAGAAGCCGCAGAAACCUUGUGGAGAGCAGAAAACAGAGAUGCCACUCUGCUCUGCCACCCCAUUCCCCCAUGGGGAGCAGCUUGGAGCCGAGGAGGGAUCCUCUCAGAGAGAUUUCUCCCUGCAGGGAAAAGGGCAUCACUGCUACUGGAUCCACCCCAGAGUGACCUCAGACGGGAGCUGUGGAGACACCAAGGUGCCCAACAGAUUAGACAAAAGGCAGAUGAGGAAACAGACAGCACCAACUCCCUCUUGAGGGAUGAUGGAAAGCAAGCACUGUUGCUACACCCAAUCCCUGGAGCUGGGUGUGUGGA
Molecule: long non-coding RNA, 509 nt
Filed under: Homo sapiens (human)
Lineage: Eukaryota; Metazoa; Chordata; Mammalia; Primates; Hominidae
Description: HSALNT0344403
Source: RNAcentral